This 67-nucleotide transfer RNA is filed under the name Marmota monax (woodchuck). RNAcentral's name for it is "tRNA.Ser". It matches the Rfam family "tRNA". Rfam says of the family: Transfer RNA (tRNA) molecules are approximately 80 nucleotides in length. Their secondary structure includes four short double-helical elements and three loops (D, anti-codon, and T loops). Lineage: Eukaryota; Metazoa; Chordata; Mammalia; Rodentia; Sciuridae. The record is from RNAcentral.
GGUUGUGGCUCAGCGGUAGAGCACUCACCUCGAACGUGUGAGACCUUGGGUUCGAUACUCAGCACCA